RNAcentral lists this microRNA precursor (168 nucleotides) under Pelobates cultripes (western spadefoot toad). Lineage: Eukaryota; Metazoa; Chordata; Amphibia; Anura; Pelobatidae. The record is from RNAcentral.
GCAGACACAUUCCAGCCAAUCAGCAGCAGCCCCUCCCUCCCAGACCUUCCCACCUCCUGGACAGCAUCCAUUUUACAUUCAUUGUGAAGCUGCAUUCUUAGUGAGCUGUCCAGGAGGUGGGAGGGUCUGGGAGGGAGGGUCUGCUGCUGAUUGGCUGGAAUGUGUCUG